Molecule: long non-coding RNA, 2058 nt
Organism: Herpailurus yagouaroundi (jaguarundi)
Lineage: Eukaryota; Metazoa; Chordata; Mammalia; Carnivora; Felidae
Exons: 4
Source: RefSeq, a predicted model, not a curated record
CAACCAUGCGAAGACGGAGGCAGAGAUUGAAGUGAUCUAGGGACAAGCCAAGGAAUGCCAAAGAUUGCUGGCAAUCACAAGAAACUGGAAAAGACAAGGAAGGUUCCUUCCUCCCCUCGAGUCUUCAGAGCAAAAGCACGGCUUUGAUUUCAGACUUCCAGCCUCCAGAACUGACCUCAGAAGAAAAAAAGGAGCCUCAUGAAAGAAUGCUAAGGUUUCUUUGGGAAACCCAAUAGAUAAAACUCCAUACCGAGAGAUUAAGGAUUCUUAACCCAGGGUCCAGGAACAGGCUCAGGAAUCCAACAGGCCCUGACACCUGUUUCCUAAAUGAAUCAGUGAACGCAUGAACUAGUUUACAAGACCUGGGUAUCGUCUCCAGCCAUCAAAAAAGAGACUUAAAUUGCUUCCAACCCCAGCAGCAGGCAGCUGGACUCACUGGGGAAUCAGACACUGGAAGAGGAAGCCUAAAUGCCUCCGAGGCCUCACAGCAAAAAGCCUGACCGAUGUUGAAAAAAGAGGUGGUUCUGCAUAGUGGUAUACACUUGAGAGCUCUUAAGCCACUCCCAGGUCCUCAUCCCAGCUCCCCUCAUUUACCUGCUCUGUCACCUCAGGCACAUCCUUUACCCUCUCUGAACCUACUUCCGUAUCUGUGCUGAGACAAUGAGAAACAAAGACAAGAAAUUUUAAGAAAAAAUCAGGCACCAAUGACCCAAAUGCCGCCUCAAGAUUUUGUCUCAUGCCUGCAAAUGGAAUCGGGGAUGUUCUCCUAUGGCCCUAAAUACACAAAUGAGAGAUGUGACCUCCUGUUUGCUGGUCCUGAGGACUGCCACAAAAUCAACCAACCGGUCCCCACAGGAACGUGGAGCUACUACAACCACAGGGGUUAUCUCAUUAUUUCAGAAUCAUUUCCUAAUUCCUACCAAGCUGGGAGCUUCCAAAGAGCAGGCUGUGGGGUCUCAGACUUUUCCACACCUGAAUAUUACAUCAUCUGACAUGUUUGAGACUCACAACAGACUCCCCAGACAAAACGAACCUCUAGGAGGUAAAGAAGCACUUCCCAAUAAAGACCCCAGCAGAAACAUUUGUUCCCCAUCAUAUGCCCAGCAUGAAACCCCCAGAAGUCAUCGAGGAUGAAAGUCAAGGGAAGGAGGGAAGAAGGCUUUUUGCAGUGAGAAAAAAAAAAAAAAAAUAGGGAAUCUAAAAAUCCUGGCGAUUGCAACAGAAAGAAACAGUGCAAACCCUAAAGGAGACAGACCGAUCGUAUUUUUCUAUCCUGUGAUGAGACAGAAACCAUGAAUGAGGCUCAGCAGACUUUGCAUCCAGGAAACCCCUCAGCAGUAACAGCUCAGAGGCAGGGACAGAGGGAAGAUGGGUGUUCCUCCAGAUUGCUCCUGGGGGCUCACUGUCACAGCUAGAGGCAACUUCAGGCGGGCGCCUAUGAGUCAAGAUUCAAGGACUGAGCCAUUUGGGGGGUGAUGUCCCUUUAAAUAAAGGAAGUAAGGCAGGGCUCCGCAGCUGUGGCUAUAAACGCUCUCUCCCAGCCUCUGUCAGAACCACCCACUGCUCUGGCAAGCUUGUGUCUCCAGCCCUGGUCACCCCUCCCGCUGGCUCAAAGCUGGCCUCAGAUUUUGAGGACUGGCUGCACCUCGCGGGCCCGCUCCCAUAUAGACAAAAACCAACCCCUAGGUGCAGCAGAGGGGUGAGGAUAGGGGGAUCAGCUGGUGGCCACGGAGAAAUAAAACAACCGGGAUUAUUUGUUCCGUGGGGGUCCUGUCUCAGCAACCAUGCCUGGACUGGAUUCUCCUCACACCUAAACGGUCACCAGCGAGACCUGGAGGCCACCAGUGGGACCCUUUGGGGGGGGGGUCACAAUUUCAUUUUCUUGGACCCUGUAUUCCAAAUGGAAGGUCAACAAGGAUGGCUUCCCCUUCCUAAAGGGUCUCUAGGAAUCUAUCCGACAUUUUGGUUCAAAAGAAUUCCAGAAACUCAGGGACUCUCAGGGGCCACACUGAAAAAAUUCUUCCUGCCCAGCUGAGCAGUGGAGGCGGCCAGUCCGCA